GAUGAAGAACGCAGCGAAAUGCGAUAAGUAGUGUGAAUUGCAGAAUUCAGUGAAUCAUCGAAUCUUUGAACGCACAUUGCGCCCCUUGGUAUUCCAUGGGGCAUGCCUGUUCGAGCGUCAUUUACACCCUCAAGCUCUGCUUGGUGUUGGGCGUCUGUCCCGCUGCUUUGCGCGGACUCGCCUCAAAGGUAUUGGCAGCGAUCAUGCCAGCUUCUCGCGCAGCACAUUGCGCUUCUUGAAGUUCUGGUAGAUCAGCGUCCAUUAAGCUUACCUUCAUGACUUGACCUCGGAUCAGGUAGGGAUACCCGCUGAACUUAAGCAUAUCAAUAAGCGGAGGA
This 338-nucleotide unclassified non-coding RNA is filed under the name soil metagenome. RNAcentral describes it as "partial contains 5.8S ribosomal RNA, internal transcribed spacer 2, and large subunit ribosomal RNA". The stretch from base 1 to 120 matches the Rfam family "5.8S ribosomal RNA", at positions 35 to 154 of the family's 154-position model. The record is from RNAcentral.